RNAcentral lists this ribosomal RNA (464 nucleotides) under Vreelandella stevensii. Its description in RNAcentral is "partial 16S ribosomal RNA". It matches the Rfam family "Bacterial small subunit ribosomal RNA", at positions 338 to 795 of the family's 1533-position model. The record is from RNAcentral. Lineage: Bacteria; Pseudomonadati; Pseudomonadota; Gammaproteobacteria; Oceanospirillales; Halomonadaceae.
CCUACGGGCGGCAGCAGUGGGGAAUAUUGGACAAUGGGGGCAACCCUGAUCCAGCCAUGCCGCGUGUGUGAAGAAGGCCCUCGGGUUGUAAAGCACUUCAGUGAGGAAGAACGCCUGGUGGUUAAUACCCAUCAGGAAAGACAUCACUCACAGAAGAAGCACCGGCUAACUCCGUGCCAGCAGCCGCGGUAAUACGGAGGGUGCGAGCGUUAAUCGGAAUUACUGGGCGUAAAGCGCGCGUAGGUGGCUUGAUAAGCCGGUUGUGAAAGCCCCGGGCUCAACCUGGGAACGGCAUCCGGAACUGUCAAGCUAGAGUGCAGGAGAGGAAGGUAGAAUUCCCGGUGUAGCGGUGAAAUGCGUAGAGAUCGGGAGGAAUACCAGUGGCGAAGGCGGCCUUCUGGACUGACACUGACACUGAGGUGCGAAAGCGUGGGUAGCAAACAGGAUUAGAUACCCUGGUAGUC